This is a long non-coding RNA of Lepisosteus oculatus (spotted gar), 622 nucleotides long. RefSeq lists it as uncharacterized. Lineage: Eukaryota; Metazoa; Chordata; Actinopteri; Semionotiformes; Lepisosteidae. The record is from RefSeq and is a predicted model, not a curated record.
AAGGGACCAUUUUGUUUGUGAGUCUUGACUGAAUUUAGUACCAAAACUCAAGAAAUAAUCAAGAACAGUACAAUAAUUUCCUCACAGUACCUCAGCCAGGGAGGUAUGAUGUGAGGUUACACAAAUAAAAAAUCAAAUCCUACUUUAAAAAAAAAACACAUAUAACAUUGUGUUCCUUUCCAUAUCAGACUCAUAGCAAACAAGCUUCAUGAACGAAGGGGUUUACUGAACAGUUACUGAACUCCCUGCAGGCCGGUGACAGUGUAACUAUACCUUCUAGUUUCUUUGAUCUAAAUCUGACCAAUCUUAUGUUUCGGCUUUCAGAUCAAGAGACUGUAGUAGCAUUCUGAUGUUAAGGAUUUUGAAAGGAGCACAACAAUGCAUUGGGUGAACCCAGCUGCGUUUCACUGAAGUACCUGGGUUUGGUGACUUGGGAUAGCUGGGUCUUUGCUGAAGUGGAAUUCAGAGUUGUAAGGAGGAGAGAGAGAGCUAACCGAGCUCUCUGAAGUGUUAAUAAGAACCUCAGACAGAGGACAUGCAAGGAUGUUGGAACCAGAUUGAGAAGGAUCGAAGGAGAGACUGACAAACCGGAGGAUUUUGAAGUGUGAGUUGUCGAUUGAGA